This 253-nucleotide ribosomal RNA is filed under the name uncultured bacterium. RNAcentral describes it as "partial 16S ribosomal RNA". It matches the Rfam family "Bacterial small subunit ribosomal RNA", at positions 524 to 776 of the family's 1533-position model. The record is from RNAcentral.
UACGUAGGGUGCGAGCGUUAAUCGGAAUUACUGGGCGUAAAGCGUGCGCAGGCGGUUUUGUAAGCCAGAUGUGAAAUCCCCGGGCUCAACCUGGGAAUGGCAUUUGGGACUGCAAGGCUCGAGUGCGGCAGAGGAGACUGGAAUUCCUGGUGUAGCAGUGAAAUGCGUAGAUAUCAGGAGGAAGACCAGUGGCGAAGGCGGGUCUCUGGACAGUUCCUGACGCUGAGGCACGAAGGCCAGGGGAGCAAACGGG